Molecule: non-coding RNA, 114 nt
Organism: Acanthosepion pharaonis
Lineage: Eukaryota; Metazoa; Mollusca; Cephalopoda; Sepiida; Sepiidae
Source: the annotation of a GenBank genome assembly
AUACGGCCACAUCAAGCUGAAUCACCGUUUCUCGUACGACCACCGAAGUUGAGCAACGUCGACUCUGAUCAGUACCUAGAUGGGUGACCGCUUGGGAAUACCAGGUACUGUAAG